GCCAAAAAUCUAGCCCCAUAAACCCCCAUGUUCCCCUAUUCUCCCCACACAAACUAAAACAUUCAACCAACCUAGUAAAGGCGAUUAAAAAGUUUAUUAGAGCUAUAACUGUAGUACCGCAAGGAAAAGAUGAAAUAAAAAUGAAAUAAAUAUUAAGCCCCAAAAAGUAGAGACAUAUACUCGUACCUUUUGCAUCAUGGUUUAACUAGUCCAACUAAGCAAAAAGAAUUUUAGUUUAUCCCCCCGAAACUAGGCGAGCUACUUCGAGGCAGCUUAAUGAGCGAACCCGUCUCUGUUGCAAAAGAGUGGGACGACCCCCAAGUAGCGGUGACAGACCUAACGAGCCUAGUGAUAGCUGGUUACUUAAAAAAAGGAUUUUAGUCCUGCCUAAAGCACCUUAAAUCAAACUAAAUAACGUAAAUGCUUUAGAGUUACUCAAAUAGGGUACAGCCUGUUUGAAGCUAGGAUACAACCUCAACUAAAGGGUAACCCCCCCCCCCCAAAAAAAAUAAGUGGGCCUAAAAGCAGCCACCUUUAAAAUAGCGUCAAAGCUUACUUCCAGCUUAACAAAAUACCACUAAAUACCCAAAACCCUUUACCCCCAUUAAGUUUCUCUAUAAACUAUAGAGGUAAUUAUGUUAAAACUAGUAAUAAGAAGAAGACCUUCUCUUAAAUGCAACUGUAGGUCAGAAAGGACAAACCACUGACAAUUACAACGUACAUGAAACUAAAAUAGCAACUUUUCAAGAAAACCCUAUUUUACCUAACGUUAACCUAACACCAGAGCAUUCCAAGAAAGAUUAAAAGAAAAAGAAGGAACUCGGCAAACACACUAACCCCGCCUGUUUACCAAAAACAUCGCCUCUUGACCCCUAUAAGAGGUCCAGCCUGCCCAGUGACUUAGUUCAACGGCCGCGGUAUCCUAACCGUGCGAAGGUAGCGUAAUCACUUGUUCUUUAAAUGAGGACUAGUAUGAAUGGCACCACGAAGGUUAAGCUGUCUCCUCUUUCUAAUCAAUGAAACUAAUCCCCCCGUGAAGAAGCGGGGAUAAACAUAUAAGACGAGAAGACCCUAUGGAGCUUUAAACUACAUAGCACUAGCCUUGCACUUUCAGACUCCAGAGAAAUAAAAAUUACCUUGGCUACCAUGACUAUCAGUUUUAGGUUGGGGUGACCGCGGAGUAAAAACUAACCUCCACAUUGAAUGACAAUUACCCUGAGCAAAAAACCACAGCUUUAAGCACCAAUAAAUUGACAUUAAUUGACCCAAUAUUUUGAUCAACGAACCAAGUUACCCUAGGGAUAACAGCGCAAUCCAUUUCAAGAGCUCCUAUCGACAAAUGGGUUUACGACCUCGAUGUUGGAUCAGGGUGUCCCAGUGGUGCAGCCGCUACUAAAGGUUCGUUUGUUCAACGAUUAAAACCCU
Molecule: ribosomal RNA, 1425 nt
Filed under: Dendropsophus oliveirai
Lineage: Eukaryota; Metazoa; Chordata; Amphibia; Anura; Hylidae
Description: partial 16S ribosomal RNA
Rfam family: Bacterial large subunit ribosomal RNA
Source: RNAcentral